GAUGAAGAACGUAGCGAAAUGCGAUAAGUGGUGUGAAUUGCAGAAUUCAGUGAAUCAUCGAAUCUUUGAACGCACAUUGCGCCCCUCGGUAUUCCGUGGGGCAUGCCUGUUCGAGCGUCAUCUACACCCUCAAGCUCUGCUUGGUGUUGGGCGUCUGUCCCGCCUCCGCGCGUGGACUCGCCCCAAAUUCAUUGGCAGCGGUCCUUGCCUCCUCUCGCGCAGCACAUUGCGCUUCUCGAGGGGCUACGGCUCGCGUCCAACAAGCACAUUUACCGUCUUUGACCUCGGAUCAGGUAGGGAUACCCGCUGAACUUAAGCAUAUCAAUAAGCGGAGGA
This 336-nucleotide unclassified non-coding RNA is filed under the name soil metagenome. Its description in RNAcentral is "partial contains 5.8S ribosomal RNA, internal transcribed spacer 2, and large subunit ribosomal RNA". The stretch from base 1 to 120 matches the Rfam family "5.8S ribosomal RNA", at positions 35 to 154 of the family's 154-position model. The record is from RNAcentral.